GGGGAUAUAGAUCAGUGGUAGAUCGUUUCAUUUGCAUACACGAUUAUGUGUUGAAAAGGUCUGGGGUUCAAUCCCCCAUGUCUCCA
Molecule: transfer RNA, 86 nt
Filed under: Tilletia indica
Lineage: Eukaryota; Fungi; Basidiomycota; Exobasidiomycetes; Tilletiales; Tilletiaceae
Also listed under: 1 other name
Rfam family: tRNA
About the family: Transfer RNA (tRNA) molecules are approximately 80 nucleotides in length.
Source: Rfam by way of RNAcentral